AUUCUAUCUAUCUAUGGCGUUCACUCCAACUCUGGGUUGAGUGGUGCCAUCUGCUUCAUGAUGUCCUGGUGCUGUGUUAGCCAUUCAUCAUGAUGCACUUUCACUCCUAAGCAGGCAGAUGGGA
Molecule: long non-coding RNA, 124 nt
Organism: Amblyraja radiata (thorny skate)
Lineage: Eukaryota; Metazoa; Chordata; Chondrichthyes; Rajiformes; Rajidae
Exons: 3
Source: RefSeq, a predicted model, not a curated record